RNAcentral lists this ribosomal RNA (396 nucleotides) under uncultured bacterium. RNAcentral's name for it is "bacterial SSU rRNA". It matches the Rfam family "Bacterial small subunit ribosomal RNA", at positions 30 to 429 of the family's 1533-position model. The record is from RNAcentral.
AUUGAACGCUGGCGGCGUGCCUUACACAUGCAAGUCGAACGGCAGCGCGGGGCAACCUGGCGGCGAGUGGCGAACGGGUGAGUAAAAUAUCGGAACAUACCCUAGAGUGGGGGAUAACGUAGCGAAAGUUACGCUAAUACCGCAUACGCACUAAGGUGGAAAGUGGGGGAUCUUCGGACCUCAUGCUCAUGGAGUGGCCGAUAUCUGAUUAGCUAGUUGGUGAGGUAAAGGCUCACCAAGGCGACGAUCAGUAGCUGGUUUGAGAGAACGACCAGCCACACUGGAACUGAGACACGGUCCAGACUCCUACGGGAGGCAGCAGUGGGGAAUUUUGGACAAUGGGGGGCAACCCUGAUCCAGCAAUGCCGCGUGAGUGAAGAAGGCCUCGGUUGUAAG